UUGACCUCAAAUCAGGCGGGACUACCCGCUGAACUUAAGCAUAUCAAUAAGCGGAGGAAAAGAAACUAACAAGGAUUCCCCUAGUAACUGCGAGUGAAGCGGGAUGAGCUCAAAUUUAAAAUCUGGCGUCUUCGGCGUCCGAGUUGUAAUUUAGAGAAGUGUUUUCCGCGUCGGACCGUGUACAAGUCUCCUGGAACGGAGCGUCAUAGAGGGUGAGAAUCCCGUCUUUGACACGGACCCCCGAUGCUAUGUGAUACGCUCUCGAAGAGUCGAGUUGUUUGGGAAUGCAGCUCAAAAUGGGUGGUGAACUCCAUCUAAAGCUAAAUAUUGGCGAGAGACCGAUAGCGAACAAGUACCGUGAGGGAAAGAUGAAAAGCACUUUGGAAAGAGAGUGAAACAGUACGUGAAAUUGUUGAAAGGGAAACGCUUGAAGUCAGUCGCGUCCGCCGGGAUUCAGCCGCAAGGUGUACUUUCCGGUGGACGGGCCAGCAUCACUUUCGAUCAUCGGAAAAGGGCGUGAGGAAUGUGGCACCUCCGGGUGUGUUAUAGCCUCUCGUCGUAUACGGUGACCGGGAGUGAGGACCGCCUUUGUAGGAUGCUGGCGUAAUGGCUUUAAACGACCCGUCUUGAAACACGGACCAAGGAGUCUAACAUGCCCGCGAGUGUU
This 667-nucleotide ribosomal RNA is filed under the name Peniophora pithya. RNAcentral's name for it is "LSU rRNA". It matches the Rfam family "Eukaryotic large subunit ribosomal RNA", at positions 1 to 694 of the family's 3401-position model. Lineage: Eukaryota; Fungi; Basidiomycota; Agaricomycetes; Russulales; Peniophoraceae. The record is from RNAcentral.